CCUACGGGGGACAGCAGUGAGGAAUAUUGGUCAAUGGCCGGAAGGCUGAACCAGCCAAGCCGCGUGAAGGACGAAGGUGCCAAGCAUUGUAAACUUCUUUUGUCAAGGGACAAAAUCAGGCUCGAGAGCCUGACCGAGGGUACUUGAAGAAAAAGCAUCGGCUAACUCCGUGCCAGCAGCCGCGGUAAUACGGAGGAUGCGAGCGUUAUCCGGAUUUAUUGGGGUAAAAGGGUGCGUAGGCGGACUGUUAAGUCAGCGGUAAAAGCCCGGGGCUAAACCGCGGUGAGCAGUUGAAACUGGCUGUCUUGAGAUGUCGAGAGGUAGGCGGAAUGCGCAGUGUAGCGGUGAAAUGCUUAGAUAUUGCGAAGAACUCCGAUUGCGAAGGUAGCAUACCGGCGGAGAUCUGACGCUGAGGCACGAAAGCGUGGGUAUCGAACAGGAUUAGAUACCCUGGUAGUC
RNAcentral lists this ribosomal RNA (459 nucleotides) under uncultured bacterium. Its description in RNAcentral is "partial 16S ribosomal RNA". It matches the Rfam family "Bacterial small subunit ribosomal RNA", at positions 338 to 795 of the family's 1533-position model. The record is from RNAcentral.